This 971-nucleotide long non-coding RNA is filed under the name Olea europaea (common olive). Its description in RNAcentral is "long non-coding RNA (OEUR_LNC002357)". The record is from RNAcentral. Lineage: Eukaryota; Viridiplantae; Streptophyta; Magnoliopsida; Lamiales; Oleaceae.
GAUGGUUGAGUUAACAAAGGAGGCUAGAGGCUGGACAUUACAGAAGUCUUUCCAUCUGCUCACUGAUUCAGAUUUAGGAAUACGACUAUGCACAAUGUUACGCUUCAUUGCACCCUAGAAGGGCUUUGCCUAAACCCAACUUUACACCAUAAUUAACGCUUUAAGAAACCAACCAUAUUUUUCAACAGACUUUCUUCCUUAUAUUUGUCAUUUAAUCUUACGGCAGACAUUAUAUUAUACUGAAAUACGUUUUUUCUAUUUGUAUCUAAAUGAUCAAAAGCUACACGUAUGAAUAUUUUGACACGGCUGGCAUUCACUGAUUUCACUAGUAGAGAACUGCAUGAGCACACAGUUGCAUUUCCUUGACAGAGCUAUUCAAUUAAAUGCCUUAUAUAUCCGUGUUAUGUUUGCAUCUGUACCCCAGAAAAUAAGGCAGAAUGAACAGUUUAUGAGCAUUUUUGAAGUCUUUGGAGACCUGUGUGGCUUAAACGGAUCAAUACUUCUAAAUAAUUCAGUGAUCUACGGUCAACACACAGAAACUGGUUUCACAAACAAUCUAUGGGGAAUUAAUUUUUUUUCUUGAUUCCUGUGUUUCAGGAUAAAUGAGCUUGUUAGAGGUGAAGGACGUUCAGCAUGACUCUUCUGGAGUGGGGGGGUCUACAAGAUCUUCACCAAAGUUCAUGGUCAGUAUGCAACCUUGUAAAGUUAGUUUGAUAUGAACAUAUAUUGGUGUUGAGCAUUGACAGUCUAUUUUCAGAUAUUCAGUGGCAUGGUAUCUCAUUUAUAGAAUACCUGAUAGCACUCUUCAUGCAGCUUUCUUGACUUACCAUUCACUUGGCCAUUUGGUACGCAAAGACCCCAUACAUGAUUCGUCGGUGGAUAACUGUGGUGCAAGUGUUGAGCCUGAUUUUCCAUAGUGCAGUGAGGAUUAAUCAACUGAAAAUGUAAUGUUUGGAGGUCUCCUUGAACUU